AUAUCCCUGCCGUGCACGUUGGAAGUUUGAUGAUUGGUGAGCCAACACCACAUUAAAGGGAGUCAGAAGCUUCCGUGGUGCUGAGGCACUGCGGAGCAGACACCCACCUGUACCCAAAGCGGUUCAGCCCAUCAUUCCCAACGGCACAGUGCGGGGAUUUU
RNAcentral lists this non-coding RNA (161 nucleotides) under Candidatus Omnitrophota bacterium. Its description in RNAcentral is "Candidatus Omnitrophica bacterium 6S RNA". It matches the Rfam family "6S / SsrS RNA". From Rfam's summary of the family: E. coli 6S RNA was the first non coding RNA to be sequenced, but its function was unknown until recently. Lineage: Bacteria; Pseudomonadati; Candidatus Omnitrophota. The record is from RNAcentral.